UCGGACGUGGUGUACGGCACACCGCGAGGCUCCUUAAGGCUCUCUGCAAUGAAUUUACCUCGCAGUACCGGGUUCGACUCCCGGCGUCCGAA
Molecule: non-coding RNA, 92 nt
Organism: Mycena maculata
Lineage: Eukaryota; Fungi; Basidiomycota; Agaricomycetes; Agaricales; Mycenaceae
Source: the annotation of a GenBank genome assembly